This is a non-coding RNA of Microcebus murinus (gray mouse lemur), 506 nucleotides long. The record is from RefSeq and is a predicted model, not a curated record. Lineage: Eukaryota; Metazoa; Chordata; Mammalia; Primates; Cheirogaleidae.
AACCAUUAGGAAGUGAAAAUGGGUGUUAUUAUUACCACCACGUGUAUUUGUUUGCUUAUGUUUUUGGUUUCUCCAGGAAACUGAAAGAUCUUUGGAACCAUGGACUGUGUCCUCUCUUGCUUGUUCAUCACAAUAUUUCUAGCGCCAGUCUAGCACCAGACUGGCCUCCUGAGAAAGAGGAGAGUGACUGACUUACUGCUCAUCAUGAGGAAAUGGGUGCAACUGAGAGUGAGGAAAUGGUAUUGGAUGCCUGGAUUCAGUUCCCAUCUCUGCUUUUCCCAUCUCUGUGGGAUCCUGGGUUUUGUGGAUGGUACAAGGGAAAUACAACAAACGGCCUCUGAACUCAAAGAACUGAGAGUUUAUUAACCAACACAGAAUAUUAUAUACUAUCAGCACUAAAACUGCAUGUUUGCUAAACAUUAAGGAAUGGUCAGAAGAUGAAACCUAAAGGAAGAUUUCCUUGUGAUUGAAAGUGUUUCCAUCAAUUAGUUCCUUCCUACUAUAAU